This is a long non-coding RNA of Equus caballus (horse), 2109 nucleotides long. The record is from Ensembl. NCBI's taxonomy places the organism in Eukaryota, Metazoa, Chordata, Mammalia, Perissodactyla, Equidae.
CCUCAUCUCUGAGAUGAGGAGAACCACCUGCUUACUGAGGAGUUGUGAGCAUUCAGCUUUCUACCUGCACAUGGUGGAAAUUGAAACACAGAAGCAUGGCUCUUGUUAGCCAUCGGAAAGGUAGCACACCCUGGAAAAAAUGGUUGUGCAGAUGCGUAGCUGGAUCAUUCCAGUCUGGGUGGGUCUAAGUGUUCAAAAUAUCUGAUGUUUUUUACAUUUUGAAUUAAUAGCAAUGGGAAAUGCCUUUCUUAACUCUUAAAUGCUUUGAAACUUUUCUUCAAAAUUAUCAUGUUCUUUAUUAGUCUUGUUGGGGGUAGUUUUUGAUUAUAAAAGUAAUAUAUGCUUCAUGGUAAACAAUUCAAACAAUAUAGACAGAUAUAAAAUAAGUAAAGGUCCUUUACUUUUCCAUCCAUGCCAUGAAACUGCUUUUUUGCUUUUGAUUGGUUUGUUGACUGGUGGGAUGAUUAGUCUGACUUUUGGCUUUCAAAUUCAAAAUGCUACUAUUUUUUAACAAUUGUUUGCGUUGUCUAGAGGGAAGAAUUCCUUUGACCAGUGGUCAACUUACUGAAUAAGACUGCUCCUGAACUAAACGGGGCCUCUGUGAUUUAAAAUACCUUCAGAGCUCUGGCUGCAAAGCUCCCCAACUCAAUAUAAAAGCAGAUUUUAAUUGGCUUGUGUUACGAAGGGCUCUAACAAGAGAGCCUGCCACUUUAAGGAAAUGCCACAGCCUGUGGUAAAAGCUCUCCGUGUGAGGGAGGCCUGCAGCUUGAUGUCACAGCUCAACUUUCCAACUUUGUUUCCAUAAGAAUGUUUGAUUGCAUGAUCAUAGAAAGUGAGGUUUACUAGUAUUUUCUUGUUUAGUUCUUGGAAGUCUAACUAUAGGCCUAAGAGAAUAAAUCUACUUGUGGGUUGUUGUGACUACUAUCAGAUUCCUGGGAAAAGAUAGAUUAAAAGGAAAAGUGAGUUUCAAAGAAAAUACUUUUAAUGAACCAAGACAGUGAAGUGACCUUUAAGUCCAAAUAUAGAGGUUUGCCUCUAAUUCUAAGCUGAUUCUUUGUUAAAAUAAUUUCAUCUAAAGUAAAAGAAACAGUCCAGUGUCAAACAGUUCUACUUAAUGAGUUGAAAUUAGUCAGUGCCCAGUUAAUGUAUCCUGAGUUGAUUUUUAGCUGUACCAACCUGUAUGGCCCUGCCAGUUACCAUGUUGAAAUACUUCUACCCCGUUGGGAAUAACGACUGGCCUGACUACCCCCAGUGAUGCCCACUGCCUCAGCCACCCUGUCUCUUUGCGAUUUACUGCUUCUACCAGAUGUUUUAUUGACCUUUCAUUAAUCUCCCAAAGAUAUAACAAACUAUUCUUUUAAGUUUUGAUCAUUUUGGGGGCUAUGAUUGUUUCUUGUCAUUUGGAAUGAAGCAGUAUGGUGUGAGAAUUUAGAACCUGGGCUCUGAACUCACCUCAGCCCUGCCUUUUACCUGUGUGACCUUAGGUAAGUCACUUAACCUAGGCAACCCUCAGUUUCAUCAUCAGUAAAGUAGGGAUGUUCACAAGAGUUAAUUACCUCUUAAAUGUGCUAAAAGCAUGAAGUGCUUAAUGCACAGUAUUCAGUAAAUCAUAGCCUAUUCUAAGAAUGGAAAGAGAGCCCAUAUGCUGGAGUGAAGGGAACACUAAGAAUGAGGUGGCGUGGAUGAGAUUGAGAGUUGAGCAGGAGCCAGAUAAGGCAGGGCUUUGUCAGCUGUGCUGAGGUUUUUGGACUUUAUUUUAAAUGCAUGGGAAAAACUGAAGGUAUUCAGAGCAGGGGAAUGCUGUGAUCUGAUUUACAUUUUGUCAAGAGCACUCUUUCUGCUGUGUGGAGGAUCCUCUGGAAGGUGGUGAGUGGCAGUAGGAGACGGAUUAGGAGACUGUAGUAGUAAUCCAAGCAAAAGAUGAGGAGACUUGGACAUGAGUGGUGGCAGUAAAGAAGUGGAUUGAUUUAAAAGAUAGUUCAGAGGUAGAACCAACUGUACCUGCUGAUGGCUUCUCUAUGGAUGAAAGAAAAGGAAUCAAAUAUGACUCUCAGGUUUCUGGCUUAAUCAGGUGGGUACAUAGCGAUGCCAUAUAGUGAGAUAGUAGAG